Molecule: ribosomal RNA, 252 nt
Filed under: uncultured bacterium
Lineage: Bacteria
Description: partial 16S ribosomal RNA
Rfam family: Bacterial small subunit ribosomal RNA
Source: RNAcentral
UACGUAGGGUGCGAGCGUUAAUCGGAAUUACUGGGCGUAAAGCGUGCGCAGGCGGUGAUGUAAGACCGAUGUGAAAUCCCCGGGCUUAACCUGGGAACUGCAUUGGUGACUGCAUUGCUGGAGUAUGGCAGAGGGGGGUGGAAUUCCACGUGUAGCAGUGAAAUGCGUAGAGAUGUGGAGGAACACCGAUGGCGAAGGCAGCCCCCUGGGCCAAUACUGACGCUCAUGCACGAAAGCGUGGGAGCAAACAGG